Molecule: ribosomal RNA, 253 nt
Filed under: uncultured bacterium
Lineage: Bacteria
Description: partial 16S ribosomal RNA
Rfam family: Bacterial small subunit ribosomal RNA
Source: RNAcentral
GACGAACCGUGCGAACGUUGUUCGGAAUCACUGGGCUUAAAGGGCGCGUAGGCGGGCGGGCAAGUCGGAGGUGAAAGCCCCCAGCUCAACUGGGGAAGUGCCCUCGAUACUGCCGGCCUGGAGGGAGGUAGGGGCGUGCGGAACUUCCGGUGGAGCGGUGAAAUGCGUAGAUAUCGGAAGGAACACCGGUGGCGAAGGCGGCACGCUGGGCCUUUCCUGACGCUGAGGCGCGAAAGCCAGGGGAGCGAACGGG